This 22474-nucleotide long non-coding RNA is filed under the name Coffea arabica (coffee). RNAcentral describes it as "long non-coding RNA (CARA_LNC002503)". Lineage: Eukaryota; Viridiplantae; Streptophyta; Magnoliopsida; Gentianales; Rubiaceae. The record is from RNAcentral.
UGUCAAUGUCAUCGCUUCAAAGAAGGGUUGUACCCCAUCACAGCUAGCAUUGGCCUGGGUGCAUCAUCAGGGAAACGAUGUUUGUCCCAUUCCUGGCACCACCAAGAUUGAAAACCUCAAUCAGAAUAUAGGAGCUUUGUCUGUAAAACUGUCUGCGGAAGAUAUGGAUGAACUGGAAUCCAUUGCUUCAGCUGGAAUAAAGGGUGAUAGACUUCCCCCUGGCUUUGAUAGUUGGAAAACCUCUGAUACUCCACCUCUGUCAACGUGGAAGGCCACAUGAAUACUGCCUUUGUUAUGCUAACAAUUCAUGUAGCUAUCUAUCUGAAUAAUGCAUUUUCACUGUUGUUGAGGGCUGAGUGAAUUGUAACUGUUCCAAUAAACUGCAACCUAAUUCAUAGUAUUGUGUUGAGGGUUGAUUCAUUUUACAGCUAUCUUAUACGAAGUUAAAAACUUGAGGUUGUAAUGGAUAAAAAUCUGGUCAAGCAAACAAAUUGCUUGCUGGUCUUGUUGCAGGACAAGCCAACAGUACCCUUGCUGCUGUUUGAAUAAGAUGUUUAUCUGGUGUAUUUCUGAACAUCUAAAGGGUCCUGUUAUUUAGAUUAUAUAACGGCAGAAAUGAUGCCUCAUACCUCUUUGAAACCUAUAAAUUGCUGAAAGGGAUUCAGUUUGUUAAGUAGUGAAGAGAUGCUGUAUUUUUAAAUGUUGUCUGUUGUCUUCCCUUUAGAAUUUUAAAAGACAAAAAGUGUCACCAAUAAAAAUACAUACUUGAGCUGUAAAUACUAUAGGUUGCUUCUUUAGAAUUUUUUUUUUUAAAAAAAAUCAUGUUCAUAUAUUUUUUUUAAAUUGCCUUCCAGAUUGGAGAAAGUUUUUAAUUAAUGGCCAAAUAAUUAAAUCCAUAAAGCACGUUAGAAAAAAGGUACAUGAAGCUAUAAAGCAUUAAUAUACAUUUGUCAAAACUCAUUUAAUAAUUUAACCUGCAGUAUCUCGAGAAGAGAAGCACACCUCGUCAAGUAAUUGUCAUUUUAAUGCAUCAAAAUUAAGUUCUUUAGGUGAAUAAUCAGAAAAACCCAUGCAGAAAAAUGCUCUAAAUUACUUUUAUUACCAUUAAGCCAGUAUCCAAAUGGUUGGACGCGUCUCAUUCGGAUUGCGUCUCAUUUGGACGCGCCUCAUUUGGUCAGAAUGUUCCUCAACAUCAAUCCAAGUGUUCAGACAGUUUUUGAAUUUUUAAACACCAUUUAGAUGGCAAUUAAUUGUCAAAAACAUGUAAAGGUGCCAAAUAAAUUUGAACAAUUUCUGAACAGUGCAAGACAAUGAUAAGUCUUAUGGUGGAUCCUAAGACGGGCUCCCGUCUUGCAAUUGAUCAAAUUUUGAAAAUAUUUAACGUUGUAUUUGCUAAUAAAUAGUUAUAAACAAACAUGUCUAGAAGCAGAUUUGCAGAAAAUAAGAUCAACUGCCAAAUUUAUUACUCUCUUUCGUUUUCCAUUAUCACUUUUCUCAUUUGGCCACUUUUUUCCAAUGUUAUAUUAUUAGUUAAAUUUUAAGCGAAAAGUUCUUUACGGAAUUUUUUUCAUUUUAUUUUUUUCCUCCUUUUCUUUAUCAUAUUUAGACUUCUUUUUCCUCCCCCUCUAUUCGUAUUAUGACAUACAAAUUUUUAUAAUAAUGUGCUAAAAAAUUUUCUAUUAUAGUUCAAUACAAAUUGUUAGUUUUUAACUAAAAGAAUUUAAUCAUAAUCAUUAUUAUAAGAAAUUAAAAAGCAUGAGAAAAAAGAAAUUAAAAAACAUAUAUUUUUAUAUAAGAAACUUAAGUAUUUCACAUUUGUAUUAACAAUUUCUUAGUAUGUAUUAAUUGUUAGCUAAAUAUCAUGAUGCAUUAUCUUUUAAAAUAUAGAAGUUACACAACAGACUUUUACAAAAUAUAUACUUUAUAAUUUAAAAUAACUUAUGAUACUUAAAUAUUUGACAUAACAAAAAUACUUACUUAAGCCUUAAAUGAAAUUGCAAUUACCCCUUAUUGGCAGUUUCUUUUAAGGCUUAAAUAUGUAUUUUCAUUAUGUAAAAUAUUAUAUCGUCAUAAACUAUUGCAAAAAUUAAAAUGUAGAUAUUUUGCAAAAUUAUGUUUCAUAAUUCUAUAUAUUACUCAUUAAUAACUAAUGCAUCAUGACAUUUAGCUAAAAACUAAUACAUAAUAGAAACUGCAAGUAUAUGCAAAAUACUUAAAUUUUUUUAUAUAAAGCAUAUGCUUUUUAAUUUCUUAUAUAAUGAUUAAAUACUUUUAGUAUAUGUAUUUAACCAUAAAAGAAAAUUCUUUAGCACAAUAUUGUUAAAGUUUAUAUGCAGUAGUAGGAGUAGAGGAAGAAGAAAAAGAAAUCUAAACGUAAUAAAGAAAAGGAAGAAAAGAAGAAAGAGAAAAUUAAAAAAUAUAUAUAAUGAAAUACAAUAAGGGAUUGUCUUUAUUUGCCCCAUAAAUUUGACCUUUAAUCAUCAGGGGUAUUGUGUAUGUUUCAUGAUUACACAGAUAAUUUGCUACUAAAUUAUAAUUACAGAGGAACAACUUGUACUUAAGCCAAAAAGGGAAAAAAAAAAGGCACGAUAAGUAGUCACUUGGAGGCCUCCCUGGGUUCGAAUCCUCAACUUUAGUUACGUUGAAGAUUAUGUGGCAGGACUCCAAAUUCACUGAAAUGUUCACCACAAUACUUUGCGAUGCAGAAAACGAAAGCAAAAAAGACAAAAUCGAAAAAAAAAGAGGAAAUGUAGGAAGUUAAAUCAAGCCAUUAUGUUUUAGUAUUAAUAAUUAAGUGGUGGUCUACAUACCACAUUGUCAUUGGUUAUUCGAUACAAGUGUUAUUAUGUCUGUUGAUUGCAUGGAAAAGGUAAUUAGAGCCAUGAUUGAGUUUAAGUUCGAGUGCUGUGUAUGUGAGAAGAAAAUUUUCCUUUGCCUCUUUAAUCGAUUUGUUGAGAAUUUUUCUGUAGAUUUAUGCCAUGAUUGUUUAUCGAUUUCAGUUCAUCAGAAAUUGCUUACCUUUGCACUCACAUCAUCCAAGUCCCAAUCAAAUGUUCCAAAGGAGACAGAUGCCAGCUACUAUUCCACUUUGUAUUAUUUCUUUGUCUCGAUACUAAAUUAUCCUACGGGACUUUAUCUUGUCCUAGUUAUUGUUUGAGAGAAUAAAAUUUAUACACAAUAUCUUCACUUUCUAUUUCCUAUGACAAUUAAAACGUAGAAUUUUUCAACCUUCACAUUUGAGAAUGAAGGUUGGGUUAAUAAAUAGCAGAGCUUAGGAUCUGAAAUAUUUCUUAUUUAGUGUGUUGUGGACACUCUUCUUCUGCUCCUCAAGUACUGUUUCCUCUGUGUCUGGUUUUUGUCUGAAAAUGGCAUCGUCAGUAGUAGAAGAAGUGAAAGUGCCAAGAAUCAAGCUGGGCUCGCACGGUUUUGAAGUUUCAGCUCAGGGAUUGGGUUGCCUGGGGAUGUCAGCCUUCUACGGGCCGCCAAAGCCCGAGCCCGACAUGAUCAAAGUUAUUCACUAUGCUAUCAGCAGAGGCAUCACUCAUCUUGACACCUCCGAUUUUUAUGGACCCCAUACCAAUGAAUUACUUCUCGGGAAGGUACUAAUCCCACCAUCUUUUGUUGGUUGUACAUUAUGGUUUUCAGCUUGUACCUUGAUCAUCAUUCUCUCUUCAAUGAUUUGAACUUUAAAAUGAUGGCAAUAGAUUAUACAGUGGUAAAACAGGAAACGGUGCUCCCCAGUUGAAUUCUAGUUGUUGUGGUUUUUAUUACAUUUGGUACAAACUUGCAGUGAAUUUUACUCCUACUUAGUUGUACAAGUUAACAAAUUUCAUGAUUACAUCAAAAUUCUACGAAAUGUUAUAAGAAUUACAUAAAUUGGAUAGAUGUGAAUAAAAUUCAAUCGGAGAGGCUCUAAAUCCAAUAGAAUAAUUCCUGUCGAUCUUCAGUUAAUUUAUAAAGGAAUUGACAUUAGGCACUCUAUUAUAUAAUUACAUCUUCCUUGACAUUUAUUAGCAUUCUAUAUUUUUCAAUGGCACCACUUGACUUUUAGGGUUUGUGGAAAGACAACAAUAUGCCUACAUGUUAUGUAUCCUCUAAAGAGUUCGAGAGAAGAAUUUUUGGAUGUAAUUACUAUGGAGCUUAAAAUGCUAAGAGUAGAAAAAAUUCAAGAGAAAAAUAGUAUCCUAAGGUAAGAUUAGGAGAGGUUAUGAUUCCGUAAACCGGCUAUACAUUCAGUCCGGUUCAAUAGUUAACUCAAAAAUUGAAUUGACCUGUUAUAUCUGGUCAAGAACCAGUUGGAUUAGUAAAAAUUGGGAGGUUCAAUUGGAUUUCACUGAUUUUUUUUAUUUAUUUAAAACCAAUAUUUUAGUUUUAUUCAGAUUUUUAAUAUUAAAAUAAAUAAAUAAUGAUUGAACCUUUAAACUAAGGUUGAACCGGUCGGAUUAAUUGAAACGCAAACUGAAAGCUCUUUCGACUCGCUCUCCAAUACAGAUUUAAAAGCAUUGUAAAUAGGUUGAUAAGUAUAUGAUUGUUUUGUGUUCAGAAACCCAGAAUAAAAAAAAUUUCCAAUUUUCCUGAGUCUCAUAGAAUAUAGUAUUGAUUACAUUUUUGUACCCAGAAAGAGUAGGAAAAUUUUGCUAAAGUGGUUAAAGUUCGCUGCUAGUAAUAAUAUAGUCAAAGUUGACAUUUUUAAGAGAGCAUAUAUUUCUGCUGUUUCAUAAUGGAGGAGGGUGAUACGAAAAUUAAUCCCAACAGUUUCUGUUAAGGAGUUAUUACAAGAUUAACAUGUUUUAAUUUGUGUCCCGGAUGAUUAAUGUUGUGAAAGAAUGAGUAUAGGCUUUGAAGGAAGGAAUACGACAGAAAGUGGAGCUAGCAACAAAGUUUGGAAUUAGACCUGUGGAUGGAAAGCUGGAGAUUUGUGGUGAUCCAGCAUAUGUAAGGGCUGCUUGUGAGGGUAGCUUGAAAAGACUUGGAGUUGACAGCAUUGAUCUCUACUAUCAGCAUCGCAUCGAUACAAGUCUGCCCAUCGAAGUCACGGUUCGCUCUGCUAUCCUUCUGUGUUUUUAUCUUUCUUUUAUGCUUGAUGAAGUGUAACUAGUUCAUCAAUGUUAUGAAUGAGUUAAGCAGCACAAAGUUGUGGAAUAAGGAGUUUUUUACAUCUUUGGAUGUGUUGCACUAAAUACGGUAAAAAUUUGAUAGAACAUUGUUGCCUAAUGAUGCAUGGCAACAGAUUAAAAUGCAAAUAUCUACUUGUUGAAUUGGUUUACACAAAUCACUCUGUCUUUUCUCUAGGAACAUGCUUUGAUAUAUGAGUGAAGCCAAUUCAAAUAUGACAAAAUGCUUGUUCUAAUAUGUUCUGCAGUGCUACGGCAAGCCAGAAGACACCAAUUACUUCACAAUCCUAUUUGAACUCAGGCUCAUUCAUUUGAGAUCCCUAAAAUUUGUCCAUUUACCAUGAAUUGAAGCUUUGGGCUUUUAAAUCUCCUUUCUGAUUCCAAUAGAAUCUUGCAUGCUUGUGAACUGUGGUGUCGCUUUAAUUACAAAUACAUAUGCAGAGCAACUAUCUUAAACUCACUGCAGAUGGGACUACUGUCAAAUAGCACCAAGUGCGAUCAUUCUAGUUCUGUGCAACAUAUGUUGCAAGUGGCUUAAAUCAAUACAAAGGCAAUUUUUAUAGCAUCGACUAGUCAUUCUUUAUCCACUAAAAGAUGUGACAUGAUAUAUAGGAGGAAUGGAACAGAAGAAAUUUAACCAAUCGAUUGAAUACCAUUGUAUAUGUAAUGUUUUCAACUUCAUGUAUAGUUAGUAAAAGUUGUGCCAAUACAAUGGACUACUAAUACUUUCACUCAUACACUACAAAAUUCCAAUUAUCUGCCUUGGGAUGAUUAAUACUAAAUGAGCUUCAUAUGAUAGUAUUUGCUCCUUCAAAUUCUUUUUUUUUUUUUUUCUAGAUAGGAGAACUUAAAAAACUGGUUGAAGAGGGUAAAAUCAAGUAUAUAGGUCUAUCUGAGGCCUCAGCUUCAACAAUCAAAAGAGCACAUGCUGUUCAUCCAAUAACGGCUGUACAGUUGGAGUGGUCAUUGUGGACAAGAGAUGUAGAGGAAGAGAUUAUUCCUACUUGCAGGUAGUUACAUAUUGUUCUGCUUCACUUUCAAUAUACAAUAGUAUGCAUUUGUAACUUCAUCUUCUGUUUUUUCAGAGAACUUGGCAUAGGAAUUGUAGCAUACAGUCCACUUGCACGAGGAUUCUUCUCAUCAGGUCCAACGCUGAUUGAGAAUUUUUCUGAAGGUGAUUUCCGUAAGGUUUGUCCAUGACCAUAAAGAUUAUGAGUAUCUUAGCUCCAAACACUAAUAUAAAGUUUGUCAUUAGAGAUUAUGAGCUAAAAUCCUUACGUUCAAAUCUCAUCAUUUAGAGUCUGUAUAUGCAGAAUUUGCCGAGGUUUCAAUCAGAGAAUAUGGAGCAUAACAAGAACAUGUACGAGCGUGUCAAUGUCAUUGCUUCAAAGAAGGGUUGUACCCCAUCACAGCUAGCAUUGGCCUGGGUGCAUCAUCAGGGAAACGAUGUUUGUCCCAUUCCUGGCACUACCAAGAUUGAAAACCUCAAUCAGAAUAUAGGAGCUUUGUCUUUAAAACUGUCUGCAGAUGAUAUGGCUGAACUGGAAAGCAUUGCUUCAGCUGGAAUCAAGGGUGACAGACUUCCCCCUGGCUUUGAUAGUUGGAAAACCUCCGAUACUCCACCUCUGUCAACGUGGAAGGCCACAUGAAUACUGCCUUUGUUAUGCUAAUAAUUCAUGUAGCUAUCUAUCUGAAUAAUGCAUUUUCACUGUUGUUGAGGGCUGAGCGAAUUGUAACUGUUCCAAUAAACUGCAACCUAAGUGACAGUGUUCUGUUGAGGGUUGAUUCAUUUUAGAGUUAUCUUAUACAAGGUAAAGAACUUAAUAUAGAGGUUGUAAUGGAUAGAAAUCUGGUAAUGUAAAAAAAUUGCUGGCUGGUCUUUUCGCAGGACAAGCCAACAGUAGUACUUCUGCAUCUGUUUGAAUAAGAUGUUUAUCUGGUGUAUUUCUGAAUAUCUAAAGGGUCCUGCUAUUUAGACCGUAUAACGGCAGAAAUGAUGCCUCAUACCUGCAACUUAAACCAAUAAACGGAACCUACGCUAUAGAUGGCUUCUUUAGAAGUUCAAAAGAACAAAAAAAGGUUCAUAAUUCUCAUUUUCUAUGCAUGUGUUCUUUUCAAAAAGAAAAAGUAACUGAAUUAUUAAAAAAAAAAAAAAGGACAACAAUGUAUUGACUGCAAUGAGCAGAAAUCAAUAGCUUUUUCUUCAACUGUAGUUGCAUGUUAAUUGGAUCUACAACAAAGCUGGUAAGCUAUUUAGUUUAGCUGCUAUAUAUAUAAAAGAAAUUAUUCAUUGUUUGUCAAACUAUUAAAAGCUCGUUUGGAUUAGUUGUUUUUGGGAGUGUUUUUGAAAAAUUUUAUUGUAGCAGAGUUUUUAGAGUAUAUUUUGGGAUAUUUUUAGAAUAUAUUUUGGGAUAUUUACAAGUAGAAGAGUUUCUAGAAUAUAUUUUGAAAUAUUUUUUAAAAUUUUAAAAAAAUUAAAACUAAGUUUUAAAUUACUUUUUAGAGUACUUUUUAAAAAUUUUUAUUGUAUUUGAAAAACUAAUUUUUGAAAAACACUCCUUUUCUAACAUUUGAUGUUGCAGUUGUCGUCAUUAUUUCAUUUUUCACUUUGAAUUUUUAUAUUUCGCAAGUUUGUCAUAAUUUCUUUAGGAGUAAUAGAGCUUACAAAAAAUUACUUUUGGAAAAUUAAGCACCCAAUAUAAUGUUAGAAAAGAAACAGGAAUUUGCUUACCUUUGGGCCUACAUCAUCCUUAUACGUAGACAUGCCCCUGGCUGCAGGGCUAUGUCAGCCUUCUUCGGGCCACCCAAGCCCGAAUUUGACGUGAUCAAACUCAUCCAUUAUGCAAUUCAACAGAUGCAUCGCUCAACUGUUGGAGGCCUCCCUGGGUUCGAAUCCUCAACUUUAGCGAUGUUGAAGAUUAUGUGGCAGAACUCCAAAUUCACUGAAAAAUUCACCACAAUACCUUGCGAUGCAGAAAACGAAAGCAAAAAGACAAAAUAUAUAUAUAUAUAUAUAUAUCUUUACUAUACUAAAAGCGAGAGUUAGGAUUGCUACAGUGAAAAUGGAUCGGUUAUCCUGUGAUUGUUGUGACUUUGAGGGACGUUUUGGUCUUUUGCCAUUCGGUAGUAGUGGCUUUGCUGGAAAUUCGCUGCUGUCCGUGUGGCCUUGUUUCCUCUGAUUCUUAGCAAUUUAGGCGGUGAGUUCACUGCUGUCCGCGUGGCCUUGUUCCCUUCAUUCUUUCCGUGGCCUUCUCUACCAGGUGUUUCUACUUUUAGUACAAGGGAACCUUGCACUCAGUUGCAAGCUGCUGCCCGGUUGAUUUUUAAGUCCAGAGGGUCCUCCUAUUUUGGAAAAAAAAAAAAAAAAAAUGAAGGAAUCCCGUGGUCGUGUAAACAUUUUUUUUUUUUUUUGCAAAAGGAUAAACUUUCUUCAUAAAAAAAAUGCAAUUUAAGAAAUGGAUUAUAGUUUUUAAACUUUUACAGGAGUCCCAAUUUUUCUUUCGAGCAUGAAAAAAUGAUUCUAUAAAUACAUAUUUUCGGAUUUUAAACAUGAGUUUGUUACCAAAAAUAUGAAGGAAUCUCGUGGGUGUAAACAUUUUUUUUUUUUUUUUGCAAAAGGAUAAACUUUCUUCAUAAAAAAAAUAUGCAAUUUAAGAAAUGGAUUAUAAUUUUUAAACUUUUACAGUAGUCCCAAUUUUUCUUUCAAGCAUGAAAAAUUGAUUCUAUAAAUACAUAUUUUCGGAUUUUAAACACGAGUUUGUUACCCCAUUUGUAAAAUAGAUCCACCGCCUAAAUUAUGGGCAACUUCGAUGGCUUUUGCAUCCGUGCUUCAGUUGUGUGUUUGGUCAACUUUGGUGGCUUUUGUGUUUGUGCUUCAGAGUUCAGAUGUGUAUUUGUAUCUUCAUUGUAUAGUUGUAGUUGCUUCAGCUCCCCUGGUGAGUGGGCGGUGGGUGGUGUCCGAACUCCGAAGCGGUCUGUGGGAGCCGCACAAAGCUCUCUUGCCUAUGUAAUCUUGAGAGAAAGCCAUCUGAAAAGCAACAUAUUGGAUGUGUUUCUUUCUCCAAUUGAAGACCUGGAUUUGAUGGUUUUACAAGGUGAAGUUUUCGCACUCUCACCUAGCUGAUCUUGUGAGCAAGCCAUCUCAAAAGCAAUUUCUUCUUCCAAUUAAAAGCUUCGGGUUCCAUAAUUUUGCGAGUUGAACUCUUUCUUUAUUUCUGCCUUUUGGCCCUUUUUUUCCUUAUAAUGUGAGGUCUAAUGAGUCCAAAUGUUUGUUCAAAUCAUUGCAAUGGUUCACCGAAGGGUGUUAAAAAUUUUAGAGAAAUUUUAUAGGUUUCAACUGUUGUGAAAUGGGAGCCACUGUUAGACUUGCUAUGGCCAUCUUGCUGCAUGAUUAUGGUUUUUCUGGUGAUCAGUUUUUAUGUUUUUGUCCCACUUGAAAGAAUUUGCAGAACAAUUGAGUGCAUAUGAGGUAUCUACAGGGAUUUUUCUAAUGCAUUGAUUACGCAUUGUAAGUACGGUUUUGGCCUCAAUAAAGGCCUAUCUGUCCUUCAAAUUUCUUUCAUUUGAUAUGAAUGUGUAUCGUCUUUGUUGGGUAUAUUUACUUAGACCAAGUGAUGUCAUCCUGUAUUUUACAAAAUUAUAUCUGUCAGUUGUACUUGUUUAACCUAGCACAAGUUAAUCACUUCUAUGGCAUGGUGAAAGUAGAGAUUGAAAGUAAAACGACAAGAGAUCCCAUCCAAUUAAUGAUCUUUUUCUUGGUUGAUUAGGUAAUUGUUGAUCAUUCAUUUUUUAUCUGCUCUAAAUUAAAGGUAAGCAUAUCUCCGGUCCAGCAUCACUUGUAUGCACAAAUUCAUAAUACUCGCAUGUAGGAUCAAGUUUGCUCUUAUGCAAUUAUGUCUUGAUGUCUUGUCUUGUUGAAUUAAAAUUACUGGCUACUCUCUAAGGCCAUUAAUUUCAGAGUAAGAUUAUUAUGGAAUUUACUGGCUUGCCCAAUUUGGACCAUGUAACAACCUAUUACAGUUAGUUUAUCUUUAUUGUUCUAGCAAAAAAAAUCUCGUUGCAUUGACUGUUAGAUCGUUGAUAAUUUUGCAGUUAUGAAAUACUAAUAUAUCAAUACUAAUAUAUCGUAUCGAUAUCUCACGUUAAGUCAAUUAGUAGUCCAAGUCCAGUAGGUACAAAAAUCUCUUCAGCAUCAUAAAUAAAUUGAGUAAACAAAUAACGAUAAUAACCAAUUUACCUAAAGUCAAAUUCCCCAUAGUUACUAGCACCCAUCAUGUAUUUAAUAUAUAACCAUUUUAUAUUAAUUCACUUGCCUUCAUUUGAUCUUCUUUAACAUAGAUCCAGGGCAACCUCACGCAUCGCGUGAGGCUGAAAAAAACUAGUAUAUAGGAAAUGUAGGAAGUUAAAUAGAGCCUUUAUGUUUUAGUAUUAUUAAUUAAGUGGUGGUCUACAUGUUAUGUUAUGCUGUCAUUGGUUAGUCUAUGUAAGUGUUAUUAUGUCUAUUGUGUGUUGGUUGCAUGGAAUUAAAUCCCUUCAGUCCCUUCAGUGUUGAAGGCAAUUAGAGCUGUGAUUGAGUUUAAAUGUUUGUUUAUCGAGUUGAGUCCGUCAGGAAAUUGCUCACCUUUGCACUCACGUCAUCCAAGUCCCAAUCAAAUGUUGCAAAGGAAAUAGAUGCCAACUACUUUUCCACUUGUUUGAAUUGACUUAUAUUAUUUCUUGAGCAAAUUACACUUUACUCCAUGUAGUUCAGUAUUUUUGUACAUAACCCCUUAUAGUUUCAAAAAUUAUACAUAAUCCUCUCAUAGUUUGGAUCAAAGUGUUAAAGUAACAGAAUUUGUAAUCCAUAACGGAGUCACCUAAAAUAUUAAAUGACAGGUGUCGAGCCAGUGCAAUAAUAAAAAUAGAACCUAACUACCACUAAAAGUAGUCAAUAAUUAAUCCUAGGUACUGGAGCAGGGACUCUAGGUGUGCAAUGGGUUACUUGAUUCACUCUGUUCCCGAAGAGUUUGCUUAAUUCGAUAUACCAGAAUUAAUUAGUUAACAAAAAUUACUAAACAGUAGACAGUGGCAAGUAGGGUCGUCUCCUCAGGGACUGGGGAUAUUUGUCUCUUUGAAAUUCCAAUUGGUAAAGGGGGAUUUUAUCGGAACGAAACUAAAAACAAUUAAGCAAUUCAACUAAAAAUAAAUAAUUAACUAGCACAAAUAUAGCAGGAAUUAAAUCAAGAAUAGAUAAAUUCUAGCCAAGGAUACAACUACUCAGACACAGUCCAUUUAUCCGAUCAUUGAUGCAAGAGAGGUUCACUUAAUUUAUUAAUAGGCUAGUUAUAGUCGCCGAUGAAAUCUAACGACAAAUUUUUCCUUAAUUUAUUGAUAACCAAGGUACGACCAUUGAUUACCCCUAACCAGAAAAUACUCCUAGGUACGACCGUAGGAAUUAAUUUCCCAAUUGCAUUAAGAACUAGAAAAACCUAACCCUAAUCAAUAACACGCUACGAGAGUUACUUAAAUUAGAUUGCACGUUCCCCUAGUGUGUAAACACGCCAGUUGCCACUAAUAUUAAUCAAUCAAAUAAUUACGGAUUUAAUUGACUAAAUUGGCAAGAGAUUAAUAAGUCACAUUGAACAUCGGGCCCUUGACAUCCAAUUAACAAAAUAAUCCCAUGAAAAUUCAAACAGACAACGUGCAAAUAUUAACAAAUUAAAGAACGCGUGAAAACUAAUUAGAUCUCACAGAUAUUCGGGACUGCGCCGUCGAAUUGAUCCUUGACUAGAUAAAAGGCUUAGCCACGCCGCAUAAAUAAAUCUCCACGCAAAUUAAUUGAUUGCAAAGGUAUCACGUUUUUCACUAGAGAGCAAGAAGUAAAAGAAAUUUUUCCCAUCGGAGAAUAUUGUCGAGCACCUCGUGCGUGUGAAAAAGGAAAAAGAAAGAAAAACUAAGACUAAAGCUAUGCUAAAACUAUUGAUAAGAGCUCUCUGUACGUCCGUUUCUUUUUUAAAGCCAAAGAUGACUAAUGCCUCCCCUAUUCUCCGUGGUCCCCACCGAAAUUGAAAGCAAAAGAGGAAUACAAGGGAUGGGGCUCUCCGAAUUUCUUUCUUAUUUCCUUCGGCUCCUAGGACUCUCGUAGCCCUCUCUUCAUCAGCUCAAAAAGGGGAAAAGGGAAAUCCUUUUGUUUCCUCUCUUGUGGGCCACGUUGAGGGAGCUUUGUAGAAGACUCCCACUUGUAAAGUAAUUUGCUUCAGAAGGUCUUCCUUUUUUGUAGUUUUCUACUCCAAUUUCUGAACUUAAUUCCAGAUACCAAAUAUAAGUAGAUAUUAAUAGUUAAAACAAUAUUUGGCGGGAAUAAAAGGAGAAAUUAAUAAUAAAAUAACCAACAAUUUACACCCUAUCAUGAAAAAUACCCCUAUAUAAAGUUGAAAAUUAUUUAUUAACAACAGGAGGGUUAUGUGUAUAUUUUGAAAACCAUAAGGGGGUUAUAUGGUAAAGUAUUAAACCAUAAGGGGGUUAUAUGAUAAAAUAUAAAACCAUACAAUAUUAGUGCAUCAUGUAUAUUAUAUUUAUAUAUUUGAGUCACUUCAGUCAUUUUAAUUUUUAAACAAGGGUAAUUUUGAUAUUUUCAAAGGUUUCAUUACCAUGAUCAUUUUCGUUACUUUGAUACUUUAAUCUAAAUCACGAGAAUGUUAUGUAUAGUUUUUGAAAUUAUAGGAGGGUUAUGUACAAAAAUACUAAAUCAUAGGGGCGUAAAAUGUUAUUUGCCCUUAUUUCUUUGUCUCAACAGUAGAUUAUUCUACGGAUUUUAUCUUGUCCUAGUUAUUGUUUGAGAAAAUACAAUUUGUACACAACUACUUCACUUUCUAUUUCCUAUCACAAUUAAAACGUAGAAUUUUUCAACCUUUCACAUUUGAAAAUGAAGGUUGGCUCCUCCUACACACUGGUGACACAUAGCCGCAUUUUGAUACCGCUACCGCUAAGGAGUCAAAAAAAUUGAAAAUUUAGAUCUAUAUCCAACAGACUACACCUAGCCAAAAGGGGUAUUUUGUUUUUGCAAUUUGUAUUGAUUAAACAAAUUGUUGAAAUUUUCAAAGUAAUACACUCUCCUAGUGCCGCAUAUUCUUUGUGCUGAUCGAUGAUGAUUACAAUAUUAGGUAACUUUGUCAUAUAUUUAAUACCGUCCAAAUAUGUUCUAGCAAAGAAGCCCGUGCUUCUUUUGUUGAAAUAAUGACAAAUGGUUUGAUUCGAUAUUUCCUAAGAAUUGACUUGGUGAAGUAGAAUCAAAUAUACUACUUUAUCACCAGAAGGGUCAAUAAAUAGCAGAGCUUAGGAUCUGAAAUGUUUCUUGUUUAAGCCUUUAAGGUGUGUUUGUGGAUAUAUUCCAAUUCCAAUAGUACUCUUCCUCUGCUCCUCAAGCACUGUUUCCUGCGUGUCUGGUUUUUGUCUGAAAAUGGCAUCGUCAGUGGCAGAAGAAGUGAGAGUGCCAAGAAUCAAGCUGGGCUCACAAGGCUUUGAAGUUUCAGCUCAAGGGCUGGGCUGCAUGGGCAUGUCAGGCGUCUAUGGGCCGCCUAAGCCCGAGCCCGACAUGAUCAAACUUAUUCACUAUGCUAUUAGCAGAGGUAUCACCCAUCUUGACACCUCAGAUGUCUAUGGACCCCACACCAAUGAAAUCCUGAUAGGCAAGGUAACUUUAAUCAUAUUUGCAUGUUUUCCGCAGUUGUGCAGUGUGCAGGAACUCGUGUACUUUUAGUUUUGAAGAGAAGUAGUUGAGUAGAUUUGUAGCUUUAUAUUCAGGUAAAUUAUACUUAACCCCCUUUAAUACCUUAAUUAAAAACUUGAACCAAUCUUGUUCUUUGACUUUGAAAAGUAGUCACUCGGAUUUGUAAAUUUAUAUUCAGGUAAAUCACAUUUAAUCCCCGGCAAUUUAAAGCUUGAAUUAUUUUGUCCCCCUUAAUUUUGUUUGUCAGAGCCUGAAGUCCAUUUAUCAUUAUUAUGUGAGUAAAUUUUUUAUACACUGUCAAUGUGCAAUAUUUUUACACUAGUAGAUUUAAAUCAUGUCACAUAACAUGAAUUUAAAUUUGAAAUUCAAAUCUCGUAUAUGUGUGACAUACAUCCAUAAUUACUACUAUAUAAAAAUUACUACAGUGUUAUUGCAUAAAAAGGAAAUCUUUAUUCUAUUCGAAUAUUAACCAAGAAAAGAUGUAUUUGGACUGACAUUUUGAGGAGAGGAGAGGAGAGGAGAUAAUGGAAAGGAAGGAAGGAACAUGGUUGGCUGUUUUCCUUAAGUUUCAUUUCCAUCCAAAUGUGGACGGAGUUACACUUCCAUCUAGUGGCGAAGUCAAGACCUUUGUUCAGGGAAGUAAUAAUAUUAGUUUAUAUUUACAAUGUGUUGACUUGUAGAUUUUUCAUAUAACUAAAUAUUUACUAUAAAUACGCAAUUUUUGGUGUUACAUUUUUUUAUGAGAAGAUGCUGUUUCUUGUAAUUUAGUAUUUGCAAUAGUUACCAAGUUAUAUAAUGAUAUGAAAUUGUAUAUUAAUUAAAAUUAUAUAUAAGAUUUCAAGAUGUAAAUUCUAGUGCUUAUAGUAGGUGGACAAUGUACACAGAGUCCAAUUGAUGCUAACAUCUUUCGUUUCUGUUCAAUAGGAAGAAGUAGCAUAGUCUUAAGGAUGGGAAAAUUCAGACAGAUUGUGCCACGCAUGGAUCAUAAAUCAACUUGCUAUAACAUGCAAUAAUGUGUAUGUUCUCAAUGAUUGAUGUUAUGAAAGCAUGCUUUUAGGCAUUGAUGGAAGGAAUGAGGGAGAAAGUGGAGCUAGCAACAAAAUUUGCAGUGACUUUUGAGGAUGGGAAUUUUAAUAUACGUGGUGAUCCAGCCUAUGUGAGAGCAGCGUGUGAGGCCAGCUUGAAGCGGCUUGGUGUGGACUGCAUUGAUCUCUAUUAUCAGCAUCGCAUUGAUACACGUGUGCCCAUUGAAAUCACGGUUUGCUCCUUGUUUCCUUUCCUGAAUUUAAGCUACACCUCAUUCUUGAUGAAAUGAGAGUUUGAUCAAAGUAGUUGAAAUUUGAGGAGAAUAAUUGAGUUCCAUGUCUUUUGCAAUUGCUUCAAAAAUUGCAGAAAAAUGUUUGUUGCCCUUAUGGUCUAUGCUAAUUUGCACAAUCAUAAAGCUGAUAGCAGCGGCCAUCCCAAAAAUUACAAACAUCCAAAAUAGUUGUCUUAUAAUAGCUUGACAGCCCUGCUGAGGCCCUGAGAGAGAUACAGCUGGAUAUUAUACUAUAGAUUGUACACCUUUCCUUUAGAACCAGAAGACCUGUGCAUUCUGUCUUUCAUUUGAGAUAGGCUAUCUGAUUCAGUAUAGAUAUGCUAUUUAUCCACCUUAUCACUUCUUUUCAUUAUUUGAUAUCUUAAGUACAUGAUGCUCAUUUGUUAUUACACUGAACAUUUUGUAGAACGAUUUGUGUGUGGUCUUUUUAGUGCAGUCAGCAGAGAAUAUUUUACUUUUCCUGAAUAGCAGGAAGAAAUUUUCUUACAGUAUGAUUACUCAAAAUACAGGUAGUAUGAAUAAAAUCAAGAAAAAUUGUUGGCGUCCAAUUUUCAUAUGUACAGCUGUUAUUUUGUUUAGAAGAAGUCAACAAUGUCAUAUAAAUGAUAUUGGCCAAGAAGGCCUUGGUCUAGUGGCUCAGGUUGAGGCCUCAAGAUUUAGAAAUUUUGGGUUCUAAUCCCCCUUCCUUCCUCUCUGCUUCUUAAAUUCCACCCUUUUCCUGUUAGAAGAUAUUAAAAAAAAAAAAGAUAUUGGCCUUGCAUCAUAUUAUGCAUGGUGCAAUAGAGUUAGGUAACAAGGUGUCUAGAUAAGUGUUAUUGACUGUUUGUUGCCAUUUUUAUCAGAUGGUGCUUUCAGUUUGAUGUGUACUUAUGUCAAAGUUGUGCCACUGCACUGAACGAGUACUACUUUUAGUUUAUGCAUGUAUAAUUUCGAUUAUAUACCUUAGUAUGGAAUAUAAUAAAUCAGCUUGGAAUUUUCUUGUCCGUUUCUCCCAGAUAGGAGAACUUAAGAAACUGGUUGAAGAGGGUAAAAUAAAGUAUAUAGGUCUAUCCGAGGCCUCAGCUUCAACAAUUAGAAGAGCACAUGCUGUUCAUCCAAUAACAGCUAUACAGUUGGAGUGGUCAUUGUGGAGCAGAGAUGUCGAGGAAGAGAUCAUUCCCACUUGCAGGUAGUGCAUUUAUUCUGCUUCAUUUUCUACAUGGUCUGGAAGAAAUAUGAAGUUCUAAGUUCAUUUUGGUGUAAUCUUUUAGAGAGCUUGGCAUAGGGAUUGUUGCAUACAGUCCACUUGGACAAGGAUUCUUCUCUUCAGGUCCAAAGCUGAUCGAGAACUUGACUGAAGGUGACUACAGAAAGGUUUGUGAAUGUCCAAAAAGAUUAGUAAUAUCUAGUGUAGUAUAUUUAUAGUUAGUAUGAAAUCCUCAGUCAUCUAUGUUGCUUAAUAUCCCUAUUCUUGUCUAUCUGUUACAUGUUGCUGCACUAUUUGAUGUCCAAUAAUUUGGUUGGGCUUUUCUAAAACUAUCUAAUUUAAUUAACUUCUAUCCAACAGAGUGACAUAACAAGCUUUUUUCUAUCUGAAAAGUCUUGUAGUCUUGGAUUCCAUUAAAUGCAGUUCUUGGCAUUGUUAGAAACUGAACCUUCUGCACAGACAGGAUAGUAAUUGUGAGCUCUGUAUUUAGUUCGAAUUUGAAGAUAGCGCAAGCAGUGGGAGUGUUCUAUUUCAUGGUGCAAGAACAUCCUAGACAUGAAAAAAGGAAGAAACUAUGGCAUUUUUUAGUAAUAGUCUCUUUACAAUUUUGAGGGGAAACGGACUCACAUUGCAAUGUCAUCGUCUGGUCUUAGGGACAAAAGUUAUAUACUGUCCUCUCAAAUUGUUUUUUUUUUUUUUUCCCUUUUUCUAUACAUCCUCUAACUGAGUUUGGUUGGUCACAAGUUCACUUGAUAAUACUGUCUAGAUAGUAUGAAAAUGUAUUGGAUUUCCAUUUUGAGUUUCCUCUUUAAUGGGAAAUGUAUCUCAGGAUCUACCUUCUGCAAUUGAUGUUUCUUGGAGUACUCAAUCCACCUUACUGGAUUGUUCUUUCCCCUGAACUUUCUACGGCUCAAACAGUACUAUCGAUGAUCAUAUUGUCUUCAUUUGUUGAUGACACAUGCUUUAUUCCUUUUUUGAAUUUCUGGCAUUCUAGUUGCUUAAAUUUUGACAUUCAUUCAAUGCAGAAUAUGCCAAGGUUUCAAGCGGAUAAUUUGGAGCACAACAAGAAGUUGUAUGAGCGGGUCAAUGCCAUUGCUUCAAGGAAGGGUUGUACUCCAUCACAGCUAGCAUUGGCCUGGGUCCAUCACCAAGGCAAUGAUGUUUGCCCCAUACCCGGUACUACCAAGAUUGAGAACCUCAAUCAGAAUAUUGGAGCUUUGUCUGUAAAACUGUCCGCAGAGGAUAAGGCGGAACUCGAAUCUAUUGCGUCGGCUGGAGUCAAGGGUGAGAGAUACGGGCCUGAAAUUAGCACUUGGCGAAAUUCUGAAACUCCACCUUUGUCAACCUGGAAGUGCACAUGAAGAAGAGCAAGUUCGCUUUGAUAUUUCGUGGACUUUUGUUCAGGUUUUAGCUUGGAAGAGCACAUGAGUGCAAGUUUGGUUCUAUAUAUUUAUUUCGUGAACUUUUGUUUUGGUUUAGCUGUUUAACGUCUUGUGGAGUAAUCACAGGGCGCAAGGGAAAUGAGGCAGGGACGGUCAGCAGUAUGACCGUCCUGAACGGUUAAUGGCCACGAUCUGGCCUCAAAAAUUUGUGCGGCUGAAAUUACAAGUUGUAACUCGAUUUUCACGCCAUGUGUGGGUCCCACAAAAAUUUAUUCUAAAGUUACGCGAUGUGCAAUAAAAGUUACACGAUGUACAAAGAAAGUUACGCGCAGUUGAAAAUGGCCAAAACCGUCCGGGACGGUGCAACCGUCCGUGCCCCGAGUCCGCAAGGGACAGGUGCAUGUCCUGAGUUUUUGAGUUUUGCAGUAAUCAUGAGGUACAACAGUGUUAUGGAUGUAAUAUAAUAGUGGACUCAAGGGCUGGCCCAAAUAAUUUUUGUGCAAAAUCACUUACUAGGCAUCACAACUAUUUCAACUUACAGGGGAUAACUUCACUAUAAAGGUGCGAUGCAGUUGUAACUUGAACCAACAGUUCAAUUUGUGGUUAGCAUGUUAAUUUCCUAUUUUCUACUUUAAUUACGAUACUUGCUUUUUGAACUUACAUGGGAUAAAUCUGUUAUUAUCUAGAAAGCAUGAUGAGUCUUUAGUAUCCUUGAUUCUGGUGAAUUAAACCAAAAAAAGAACAACCAAUUCAUUAUAUUCUGUCAAUAAUUAAUAUCAAUUAUGCCAACAAUUACAAUAAUGAAAAACAUCCCUUGAGUUAUAGUGAAUGAAAUCAAAAAAAGAUGAACCAAUUUUAUUUAUAAAUUAUAAAAAAAUAUAUGGUGAAUCUUAGUUAUUAAUAAUAUAAGCAAAAAAUGAUAUUAGUUUUUGCAAUGCCAAAAUUACACUCCUCUCUAAUAAAUGGACAAAUUGCAUUGCAUUUCAUCAUUAAUAAAUACUAUCAAACAUGCUAGCAGUUACAAAAAUGAAAUAUUCCUUACUUUUUAUUUACUAAAAGAAAGAAGAACAAUUUUUUUUUUUUUUUUUUUUUUACAAAAUCCAAGUUUAGAGAGUACUUCUAACAUGAAACAAAAUAUAAUAAAUUGAUACUAUGAGUCUCUUAAAAAGUACCACAAGUCCUUUUAUUUUUUGGAUACAAGUAAAUUAAGUCUUCAGAGCACCUUUUUAAUAUGCGUAUAUUAGUAUUGAGUGAAAAAAAAAUUUAAUAAAAAAUAUAUUAGGAAAUGGAGUACCGAGGUAGGCAAAGAGUUUUAUGUUGGAAAUUUAUUUAUUUAAAUUGCAAUAAAGAUUAAAUUUAAGGAACUUUAUCAAUCAUAUUCUUGUAACAACUAACAAUAUUAAACUACAAUUAAUGAAUAUUAUAUUCAUCAAUGCCAAUCAUAAUAAUAAUUAAAAAGCUGAAACAUCCCUAUGAGUUAUGGUGAGUUAAGCCAAAAAAUAUUUUUUUUAUAAAAUUAUCAAUUUCAAGGAGUACUUCAAAGGUGAAUAAAAAUAUAUCUAAAUUCAGUUUGACUAUUAUAUAAUAAAUAAUCUUAACAUCUUACAAUUUUUAAUCAUAUAAACUCUAUAAUCAUAAAGCAUGUCAUCAGUGAGAAAUACAAAUAAGUUCCACCAAAUCAAAACAUUUCUAUUCAAAGUUAAGCUAUUCAAAUUCGAACAAUGAAAUUUCAAUAUAUUUAAAUACAAUUAUAAUUACAAUAGCACUAUAGAUCAUUUUACAAUACAUCGUUAGCAAAAAAUAAUAAUUAUUAGAAAAUCUCACUAAAACUAAUAAACAAUUCAUAAAACGACUUAAAGUGGAGCAACAAAUUAUUCAAAAAAAUUAAAAAAUUUAACUCAAAUGGCAUAAAAAAGAAAAUUUAGGUCAAAUGUCAUAAAAAUGAAAAUUGCGGUCAUCUAAAUUUAACCAAAAGACAAAAAUAUUGAUAUUGUUACAAAAUAAAAGUGCUCUUGGAACAAAGAAUGAUUUAUUGCUUGUGCAUUUGUAUUGGUUAGGGCAAACUAAAUUCAUAAAAAAAUAUAAAAAAAUAUAAAUAUUAUAUAUCACAUUUUUUGUCUCGAUUACAUUUAUUCCUUCAAAAUAAUCGAUUUUCUAAAAAUUUUAAAGAAAAAAAUCUAAAAGCAUCAUGUUCACAUGCAAAGCAUGUGCUUCAUUACUAGUGCACUAUAAAGGUGUGAUGCAAUUAUAUUUUUAACAUAUAGUUCAAUUUUUGGUUAGUAUGUUAAUUCCCGUCUUCUACUUUUAUUAUGAUACUUGUUAUUUGAACUUACAGGGGACAAAUUCACUAUAAAGGCAUAAUGCAAUUAUAUUUUGAACCUAUAGUUCAAUUUGUGGUUAAUAUGUUAAUUUCCUAUUUUCUACUUUUAUUAUGAUACUUGCAAUUCAGGUUGGCAAAUCUUUGACUAAAUGGCUAAAGCUUGUGGUGAAUCAAGUUUUUGCAACUUCUUGUCAUAUUUCUUUAUCAAGCCUGGAACAAUAGCUGAGUUAUGUUGUAAUGUGUUAAGAGAAAAAAAAAAUAAAGGUGCCCCUAUCGACACCCGUGGGGGUGAGGAAAGCUAGACGGGGCAGGAAGAGUUAUAUGACAACAGGACGGGCGUCGGGGAUCCCUCCUCCAUCCCAAAACUGUCCCAUUGUCAUUCUUAUUUUUGGGUCAUUUUUGGAUCCUCACACCCUUAGGUUAAUGAGAAAUGUUUAUUUUGUAUAUUUUUAAUGUAUUUUAUUACUUAGAUUUUGGUGUGUUUUAGUCAUUUUUAUAGCUAAAUAAGUAGAUUUCUAGUAAAUUUUACAUUUUGUGGUUUAAGUAAGAAAAGGUAUAUUUCUAUAGAUUCAAGUGGUAAAAACUUCAUGUUCUUGUAGGAUUUAAUAUUGCAAUCAUCAAAUGGACUAAAGUGAAAAGAUAUUUGCAUGAUUCUUGAUUAUUUGAAGUGAUUUGAGAUGACAUGAAGUUCAAAAUAUUCAAAUGAUGAAAUGCAAUCACAUGGCCAAAAAGAAAAGAUUGACAGCCCUGACACAUUGUGCUAUUUCAACUAUAACUUGAACUAUAAAUGAUGAAUUGAGAUGAUUCUAGAAGCAUUGUAAAUAUAAGAUCCAAGGCUAUAUUUCUUAUUAGACAUCAAAGUCGAAUUCGCUCAUUUCAAGGGUCAAAAAGUCAAAAUACAGAGAUGCAUUUCUGCUGCCAAGAUCUGGAAAAGACUGCUAACUAGUCAGGGUUAUUUUUCUCAUUUCUUAGCCUCCAGAGUUCCAAAUGACAUGAUUCUUAAUGCACUGGAAAGCUAACUCAAACAAAUUUUAUGUUUUGUGCUAGAGUUAGUUCAGCUUCCAUUAUUGAGAAAUUUGUAGUUAAACUUAGUGCAAAAACAGGACAAUUUUCAAGAUUCAUCAAAAAAGUGCAAACCUGCUGUAGAAAAAACACAGAUCAAAAAGUGACCUCAUCUGCAUAUUCAUAUUGUGGCUGUGCAAGUUGUUCUGUAACUUACAACUUGUUCACAUAGCUUUUUAGACCAUUUUUCUGAUCAUAUUUCGACUGUGUUGCUUAAGAAAUCUUGAAGAUUUCAAGAACUUUUGAUGAUUUCAAUAAGCAAUUUGGAACAAAAUUAACAAGUUGUGUGGGAGCUUUAAUCUUCUAUAAAUAGGGUCUUUUGUGAACAUUUCUUGUAACUUUGGAGCCUAGAGAAACUACUACAAAAGUGUGGUCUUUACUAAAACUUCUUAGUUCAUUAGUUAGUAUAGUUUAGUAGAUUAUUCCAUCUUGUAUCAUGCUAAGCAAGGAUGAAGAUUAAGGAUUGAAAAUGGAUAGUUACGAGCUCAAGUGAUAAGGGUGACUUCUCUCCAAGCACUUUAUUUCUUAUAUUGAUUAUAAUAUUUGGUUAUAAUAUAAGUUUGGAUCUAGUUUUUAUAUCUUUUAUGUUUUGCUAGUUUUAUGCCUAGGAAUGUAGAUGAACUAUCUAUGCUUGUUAUGUGAUGUUUUCAUGGUUAUUUGAAUUAUGUCUUAUUCAAGUUAUUUAGCACUUUUGUUAUUAUAAUUAUAUUUAAGUUGGCACCAUUAAUUGUAAUUAUUUAAAAGUGCUAUUUCAUCAAUGAAAAUUGUGAUCCAAUACUAGUUCAUGGAAGUGUUAAACUUGUGUAUUCUCGUGAAAGUAGGGAAACACCUUUAUAACUUUAACCAAAUAAUUUUAUAGAAUUUAAUGAGUUUAUAGCUAGUUUUUUCAUCACAAAACAUAGGUGAGAGAUAGUUACAUGUAUCAUUGGUACAUAGGUGAAAGCGAGUAUCAUGUAUAUUAGAAAAUUAACCAUGACUUAGCUAAGAUAAUCAACUUCAUUUAACUAGUAAUUUUCACUUGCAAGAAUAGAUAGGAAUUCUAUAACCCUAGGUACAUUUUCAAUGUUAUUUUUACUAAUUACUACUCUUGUUGCAUGAUUGUAGCAUAACAAGAACAUGUACGAGCGUCAAUGACAUUGCUUCAAAGAGGGGUUGUACCCCAUCACAGCUUGCAUUGGCCUGGGUGCAUCAUCAGGGAAACGAUGUUUGUCCCAUACCUGGCACUACCAAGAUUGAAAACCUGAAUCAGAAUACAGGAGCUUUAUCUGUAAAACUGUCUGCGGAAGAUAUGGCUGAACUGGAAUCCACUGCUUCAGCUGGAGUCAAGGGUGAUAGUCAUGGCCCGGCCUUAAUACUUGGAAAACCUCUGAUACUCCACCUCUGUC